RNAcentral lists this long non-coding RNA (340 nucleotides) under Brassica napus (rape). Its description in RNAcentral is "long non-coding RNA (BNAP_LNC008026)". The record is from RNAcentral. Lineage: Eukaryota; Viridiplantae; Streptophyta; Magnoliopsida; Brassicales; Brassicaceae.
CACAUACCAACAUCAACUUCCAAGGCGUCCCUCAGACCUGAGAUUCAUAAGUGCCACCAACUGCUAUUCUUUCCAUCUUCUGAAACAACACUGCAUAUUUCUUCCACAAACGAGCUGACCAAAACACAAUCUGACACCAGACCCGAGCCUUGAUCAUCCUUUGCAAAGAUAACACACAUUACUUGUGAUUCAGCAAGCUUCAGUUCCCCUUAUCCUUUGCAGAAAAUGAUUAACCAUCCAUCACAAACUACCUUUGUGACUGUAUUGAAACAAGACCACCUUAUCUUCAAGAUUUGAGCCUGAAAUCUGUUGAACUUGAUUUGAUUCAAGCUCCUUAAGC